CACAUGCAGUCGCACGGUCAGCAAUGGCAGUGGCGGACGGGUGAGUAACACGUAGGAAUCUAUCCAGAGGUGGGGGACAACAGCGGGAAACUGCUGCUAAUACCGCAUGAUACCUGAGGGUCAAAGGCGCAAGUCGCCUUUGGAGGAGCCUGCGUCUGAUUAGCUUGUUGGUGGGGUAAAGGCUUACCAAGGCGACGAUCAGUAGCUGGUCUGAGAGGAUGAUCAGCCACAUUGGGACUGAGACACGGCCCAAACUCCUACGGGAGGCAGCAGUGGGGAAUAUUGGACAAUGGGCGCAAGCCUGAUCCAGCAAUGCCGCGUGUGUGAAGAAGGUCUUCGGAUUGUAAAGCACUUUUGGCAGGGACGAUGAUGACGGUACCUGCAGAAUAAGCCCCGGCUAACUUCGUGCCAGCAGCCGCGGUAAUACGAAGGGGGCUAGCGUUGCUCGGAAUGACUGGGCGUAAAGGGCGUGUAGGCGGCAUGUACAGUCAGAAGUGAAAUUCCUGGGCUCAACCUGGGGACUGCUUUUGAUACGUGCAAGCUUGAGUGAGGAAGAGGGUUGUGGAAUUUCCAGUGUAGAGGUGAAAUUCGUAGAUAUUGGAAAGAACACCGGUGGCGAAGGCGGCAACCUGGUCCUUUACUGACGCUGAGGCGCGAAAGCGUGGGGAGCAAACAGGAUUAGAUACCCUGGUAGUCCACGCUGUAAACGAUGUGUGCUGGAUGUUGGGAAACUUAGUUUUUCAGUGUCGUAGCUAACGCGAUAAGCACACCGCCUGGGGAGUACGGCCGCAAGGUUGAAACUCAAAGGAAUUGACGGGGGCCCGCACAAGCGGUGGAACAUGUGGUUUAAUUCGAAGCAACGCGCAGAACCUUACCAGGAUUUGACAUGGGGAGGCUUGGUACAGAGAUGUAUCUUUCCCGCAAGGGACCUUCCGCACAGGUGCUGCAUGGCUGUCGUCAGCUCGUGUCCUGAGAUGUUGGGUUAAGUCCCGCAACGAGCGCAACCCUCGCCUUUAGUUGCCAUCAUUUAGUUGGGCACUCUAAAGGAACUGCCGGUGACAAGCCGGAGGAAGGUGGGGAUGACGUCAAGUCCUCAUGGCCCUUA
RNAcentral lists this ribosomal RNA (1105 nucleotides) under Acidocella sp. Its description in RNAcentral is "bacterial SSU rRNA". It matches the Rfam family "Bacterial small subunit ribosomal RNA", at positions 52 to 1204 of the family's 1533-position model. The record is from RNAcentral. Lineage: Bacteria; Pseudomonadati; Pseudomonadota; Alphaproteobacteria; Acetobacterales; Acidocellaceae.